Molecule: non-coding RNA, 636 nt
Organism: Coturnix japonica (Japanese quail)
Lineage: Eukaryota; Metazoa; Chordata; Aves; Galliformes; Phasianidae
Source: RefSeq, a predicted model, not a curated record
ACAAAAAUUAACCAUGCUACAGUCAAAAUCCAUCCAGCAGUUCAGCCUUACUCUUCACUGUUACAUUUCUUUUAUUUUGCUUUUGAGUAUUUGCUUUAUCUCAGAGCAGGUAUCAAAGCUGCUCCUCAAUAACUUAAAGGAAAAACAAUGAGGAACUCCACUGUGUCGCUGUGCCUGACAGGCAUUGCGUGGUGCUGCCAGGGCUGUGACACUCACAAGGAUACCAGUGCUCCAAUGCUGCAGAGAUAAGGCAUGUGUUGCUACAGAAUGAGUUAUUUGGGAAGCACGGGUGCAUGAAUCUAUUUGAGAGGAGAUAAGGAGCAGGAGAUGAUGAACUCUUAUGAAGCACAACUACAGAGAAAUUCAGAACCCAGCACCCCACAGGCUGAGACCACCUUGAAGGUUGUGAAAUUCUGAUGAGGUCACUGAAACACAGGUUGCCCCAAAGAAGAAAAUCUAAAGGUCCCAGCUCUGCUCCACAUUCUAAUAAAUGUGCAGUUCUCUCCUUGGAGAAGACCUUGUCUGAUAUCAGCACACAGACCCAUUAAGGUAACAGCCUGGGAGGUGGAGUAUAAACUGUUCCUGAGGUCAGUGGGUAGCCGGGGGAAGAGCUACUGAACAGCGGAGUCGUUCCAG